GAUGAACGCUGGCGGCGUGCUUAACACAUGCAAGUCGAACGGAAAGGCCCAAGCUUGCUUGGGUACUCGAGUGGCGAACGGGUGAGUAACACGUGGGUGAUCUGCCCUGCACUUCGGGAUAAGCCUGGGAAACUGGGUCUAAUACCGGAUAGGACCACAUUUUGGAUGGUGUGGUGGAAAGUUUUUCGGUGUGGGAUGAGCUCGCGGCCUAUCAGCUUGUUGGUGGGGUAAUGGCCUACCAAGGCGUCGACGGGUAGCCGGCCUGAGAGGGUGUACGGCCACAUUGGGACUGAGAGACGGCCCAGACUCCUACGGGAGGCAGCAGUGGGGAAGAUUGAACAAUGGGCGCAAGCCUGAUGCAGCGACGCCGCGUGGGGGAUGACGGCCUUCGGGUUGUAAACUCCUUUCGCUAGGGACGAAGCGUUAUGUGACGGUACCUGGAGAAGAAGCACCGGCUAACUACGUG
RNAcentral lists this ribosomal RNA (466 nucleotides) under uncultured bacterium. Its description in RNAcentral is "partial 16S ribosomal RNA". It matches the Rfam family "Bacterial small subunit ribosomal RNA", at positions 28 to 507 of the family's 1533-position model. The record is from RNAcentral.